ACAUUGGUAGUUCAGUGGUGAAUUCUUGCCUUCCAUGCAGGAAACUUGGCUUCGAUUCCCAGCCAAUGUA
This 70-nucleotide transfer RNA is filed under the name Loxodonta africana (African savanna elephant). It matches the Rfam family "tRNA". Rfam says of the family: Transfer RNA (tRNA) molecules are approximately 80 nucleotides in length. Their secondary structure includes four short double-helical elements and three loops (D, anti-codon, and T loops). Further hydrogen bonds mediate the characteristic L-shaped molecular structure. tRNAs have two regions of fundamental functional importance: the anti-codon, which is responsible for specific mRNA codon recognition, and the 3' end, to which the tRNAs corresponding amino acid is attached (by aminoacyl-tRNA synthetases). tRNAs cope with the degeneracy of the genetic code in two manners: having more than one tRNA (with a specific anti-codon) for a particular amino acid; and 'wobble' base-pairing, i.e. permitting non-standard base-pairing at the 3rd anti-codon position. Lineage: Eukaryota; Metazoa; Chordata; Mammalia; Proboscidea; Elephantidae. The record is from Rfam by way of RNAcentral.